CAAAAACAAGGAAUGGAGAUGUAGACUUCAAAUUCAGUUUGACAAAUAAUAAAGAACUUAAAUUAGAAUUGAAGACAGACCCCAGUCGUAAGAUUUGUCAAUAUUUUGGUUAGGCCUUAUUACCUUUUCAAUGGAUCUCUGAUUAUGCAAGGUCUGGUUUGGCAAGGUACAGUAGACUUCGAGGCAUUAAUCUGAAAUGUAACUCCAUGGUAAGACAAGAUGGC
Pelobates cultripes (western spadefoot toad) is the source of this 224-nucleotide non-coding RNA. The record is from the annotation of a GenBank genome assembly. Lineage: Eukaryota; Metazoa; Chordata; Amphibia; Anura; Pelobatidae.